RNAcentral lists this ribosomal RNA (470 nucleotides) under uncultured bacterium. Its description in RNAcentral is "bacterial SSU rRNA". It matches the Rfam family "Bacterial small subunit ribosomal RNA", at positions 355 to 825 of the family's 1533-position model. The record is from RNAcentral.
UGGGGAAUAUUGGACAAUGGGCGAAAGCCUGAUCCAGCCAUGCCGCGUGUGAAGAAGGUCUUCGGAUUGUAAAGCACUUUAAGUUGGGAGGAAGGGCAGUUACCUAAUACGUGAUUGUUUUGACGUUACCGACAGAAUAAGCACCGGCUAACUCUGUGCCAGCAGCCGCGGUAAUACAGAGGGUGCAAGCGUUAAUCGGAAUUACUGGGCGUAAAGCGCGCGUAGGUGGUUAGUUAAGUUGGAUGUGAAAUCCCCGGGCUCAACCUGGGAACUGCAUUCAAAACUGACUGACUAGAGUAUGGUAGAGGGUGGUGGAAUUUCCUGUGUAGCGGUGAAAUGCGUAGAUAUAGGAAGGAACACCAGUGGCGAAGGCGACCACCUGGACUGAUACUGACACUGAGGUGCGAAAGCGUGGGGAGCAAACAGGAUUAGAUACCCACGUAGUCCCUGAGCGGGCUGGCAAGGCGCAU